This 534-nucleotide ribosomal RNA is filed under the name Phymatothynnus molinicornis. RNAcentral describes it as "partial 16S ribosomal RNA". It matches the Rfam family "Bacterial large subunit ribosomal RNA", at positions 1805 to 2612 of the family's 2925-position model. The record is from RNAcentral. Lineage: Eukaryota; Metazoa; Arthropoda; Insecta; Hymenoptera; Thynnidae.
UAACAAAAACAUGGUCUUUAUGAUUUAUAAUUUAAGAUCUGUUCUGCUCACUGAAUUUAUUUUAAAGAGCUGCAGUAUCUUAACUGUGCGAAGGUAGCAAAAUCAUUUGCUUUUUAAUUGAAAGCCGGAAUGAAAGAAUUAAUGAAGUAUAAGCUGUCUCAGUUUAAUUAAUUGAAUUUAAAUUUUAAGUUAAAAUGCUUAAAUUUCUUUAUUGGACGAUAAGACCCUGUAGAAUUUAAUAUUUUAUAUUUAUAUUAAUAUAUUUUUAUUUGUAAUAUUUUAAAUUAAAUAUUUGGUUGGGGGGACAAUUAAAUUUAUAUAACUUUAAUUUUAUUUAUACAAUUAUUUUUGGUUAUUUUGAUUUUUUAAUGAUUAUUAGAUAAAAUUACCUCAGGGAUAACAGCGUAAUAUUUUUGGUGAGAUCUUAUUAAUAAAAAUGUUUGCGACCUCGAUGUUGAAUUAAGGUUAAUUAUAGGUGUAGGUGCCUAUUUGUUAAGUCUGUUCGACUUUUAAUACCUUACGUGAUCUGAGUUC